Molecule: ribosomal RNA, 301 nt
Filed under: uncultured bacterium
Lineage: Bacteria
Description: partial 16S ribosomal RNA
Rfam family: Bacterial small subunit ribosomal RNA
Source: RNAcentral
CAGUAGCCACGGUAAUACGAAGGGGGCUAGCGUUGUUCGGAUUUACUGGGCGUAAAGCGCACGUAGGCGGAUCCUUAAGUCAGAGGUGAAAUCCCAAGGCUCAACCUUGGAACUGCCUUUGAUACUGGGGAUCUCGAGUUCGGGAGAGGUGAGUGGAACUGCGAGUGUAGAGGUGAAAUUCGUAGAUAUUCGCAAGAACACCAGUGGCGAAGGCGGCUCACUGGCCCGAUACUGACGCUGAGGUGCGAAAGCGUGGGGAGCAAACAGGAUUAGAUACCCCGGUAGUCCCUGUCUCUUAUAC